GGGGCUGACUUGGAUUUCGACAGAUUUCUUGUCGCACAGAUAGCAUGCCAAGUGCUGCUUGUAAAACAGCAACAAAAAUAACUGUAAACAACACAGAUUACGCUCCAGCUUACGCUAAAGCUGCGUGAGUUAAUCUCCUUUUGGAGCUGGACUGAUUAGAAUUUCUAGCGUUUUAAUCACUCCAUAACCUUAAGCUAGACGCUUUUAAAAGGUGGUUCGCCUUUUAAACUAAGAAACAAGAACUCUUGAAACUACCUCAAGGUUUUAGAAAGUUGGACCAGAGCUAGUUUUAAGGCUAAAAAGCUAACCAAUUUUCUAAGCAUUGUAGAAGUUUGUGUUUAGAACAAGAUUUUUGGACUGGGGUUCGAUUCCCCACAGCUCCACCA
This 386-nucleotide transfer-messenger RNA is filed under the name Helicobacter pylori. It matches the Rfam family "transfer-messenger RNA". Rfam says of the family: Bacterial tmRNA, also known as 10Sa RNA or SsrA, is named for its dual tRNA and mRNA-like properties. Its role is to liberate the mRNA from a stalled ribosome. The record is from RNAcentral. RNAcentral also lists the same sequence under 1 other name. Lineage: Bacteria; Pseudomonadati; Campylobacterota; Epsilonproteobacteria; Campylobacterales; Helicobacteraceae.